This 198-nucleotide ribosomal RNA is filed under the name Triticum aestivum (bread wheat). Its description in RNAcentral is "partial small subunit ribosomal RNA". Lineage: Eukaryota; Viridiplantae; Streptophyta; Magnoliopsida; Poales; Poaceae. The record is from RNAcentral.
UCGUAUUCGCCACACCUCUUUCGGAGAAGGUAUCGAAUGCGCCAAUCCCUCUUCGUAAAAAUAGUACAAGCUUGCGAGGCCAAUUCUCGGUUUUUUACCCAAAGGAGAAACGCUGCGGGCUUGAUGGGUUUUAGCGCAUAUAAAAAAAUCUCGGCAGCUAUGCGGGUGAUUGCAUAUGGCAUUUCGGCUGACAAUUGA